RNAcentral lists this ribosomal RNA (207 nucleotides) under uncultured bacterium. Its description in RNAcentral is "partial 16S ribosomal RNA". It matches the Rfam family "Bacterial small subunit ribosomal RNA", at positions 568 to 774 of the family's 1533-position model. The record is from RNAcentral.
UGCGUAGGCGGUUGGGUAAGUCAGAGGUGAAAUUCCGGGGCUCAACCUCGGAACUGCCUUUGAUACUGCCUGACUAGAGUACUGGAGAGGAGACUGGAAUUCACGGUGUAGCAGUGAAAUGCGUAGAUAUCGUGAGGAAGACCAGUGGCGAAGGCGAGUCUCUGGACAGUUACUGACGCUGAGGCGCGAAAGCGUGGGGAGCAAACA